AAGUCGUAACAAGGUUUCCGUAGGUGAACCUGCGGAAGGAUCAUUAGUGAAUUUGUAGCCUCCAAGGCUUACAUUCUCUAUCCUUUACACACCUGUGCACCCUUCUGAAGCGGAGAGUUAUUAGGCAUUAGCCGAGCGCCUCCCUUCGGUUAUUAUAUCAAACUCAAACUACGUUUACUAGAAUGUAUACCGUCUUGUUGUAACGACAAGUACAAUCCAAUAAAACUUUCAGCAACGGAUCUCUUGGCUCAG
Molecule: unclassified non-coding RNA, 252 nt
Filed under: Geminibasidium sp.
Lineage: Eukaryota; Fungi; Basidiomycota; Geminibasidiomycetes; Geminibasidiales; Geminibasidiaceae
Description: partial contains small subunit ribosomal RNA, internal transcribed spacer 1, and 5.8S ribosomal RNA
Rfam family: Eukaryotic small subunit ribosomal RNA (bases 1-46)
Source: RNAcentral